GGGAAUUCUGAGAGGAGGUUCUAUAGAUGUAGCACAGCUGAGGGACGAGUUAGACAAUGUGUCUCUGUAAAGAUUCUCGCUAGAGCUGCAGGGACUAGUUACUUGAGAGCAUGUUAACAAGCCUGAGAAUUGGAAAGUCACUACAGAAGAAGUUGGACUCCAUUUCUUAUGAAAAGCACGUUCUAGGGGGUGGAGGGUUUAGAACAUUGAACUCCCU
Molecule: non-coding RNA, 217 nt
Organism: Pelobates cultripes (western spadefoot toad)
Lineage: Eukaryota; Metazoa; Chordata; Amphibia; Anura; Pelobatidae
Source: the annotation of a GenBank genome assembly